RNAcentral lists this transfer RNA (68 nucleotides) under Marmota monax (woodchuck). RNAcentral describes it as "tRNA.Leu". Lineage: Eukaryota; Metazoa; Chordata; Mammalia; Rodentia; Sciuridae. The record is from RNAcentral.
GUAGUGGCUCAGCGAUAGGGCACUUGCCUCAGAUGCGUGAGGUACUGGGUUCAAUCCCCAGCACAACA